UUUCUCACCGCCAGAUUCUUGAAUUGAACAUAUGCUUGCUCUGUUAAUGAAAUUUCAGUAGACCUGUUGCAAGAAGAGGCAUGCAUUUCUGCUGUUACCAUGAGAAGAACAUGCCCCAGCUGCAGCCAGAUCACAGGAAAGGAUUAAGAAACAUGUGGAACUGAGCUAAACCCAGUCAUGUCCGUCUAGAUUAGCUGACCUUUCAGCUGUGCCAGGAUGUGUGAACGAACAAAGCUGAAGCCAGAGAAUCACCAAAUGUAACUCAGCCUUGAUCAGCCUAUCCUCAGGCUUAUGAUCCUCAGCUUAUCUGCAUACUUGUGAAAAAUGCACCAUUGUCUAAGCUGGAUAGCUGAGAAAUACUGACUAUAGAAAGAUUUUUAUGAUUGACCAAAUGGUAGGUUUUUCUAUCAACUCUAUCUAGCAUUGUGUUCAGGGCUCUCCUUUAAUAGGUGGUUGUAUGAUUGAUGCCCAUAAAAUCUAAGUAACAAUAGAAAGUCUUCUCUGGAAAAAAAAAAUCAACUUAUGAUUAACCGAAGAUCAAGAAUAUAGGCAAAGAA
RNAcentral lists this long non-coding RNA (557 nucleotides) under Homo sapiens (human). RNAcentral's name for it is "HSALNT0064385". Lineage: Eukaryota; Metazoa; Chordata; Mammalia; Primates; Hominidae. The record is from RNAcentral.